Molecule: ribosomal RNA, 21 nt
Filed under: Acianthus fornicatus
Lineage: Eukaryota; Viridiplantae; Streptophyta; Magnoliopsida; Asparagales; Orchidaceae
Also listed under: 6 other names
Description: partial 26S ribosomal RNA
Source: RNAcentral
CGACCCCAGGAUGGGCGGGAU